Molecule: long non-coding RNA, 556 nt
Filed under: Rattus norvegicus (Norway rat)
Lineage: Eukaryota; Metazoa; Chordata; Mammalia; Rodentia; Muridae
Description: long non-coding RNA NONRATT031091
Source: RNAcentral
CAGAUUCACUUCUUUCUUGGCUUCACCCUGGACCUGUGGUGACUGGAGGCUUUGUGAUAUGAUGAGGAAACUGAGGCUCCAAGAGCUUCUGUGACUUGUCCAAGGCCAUACAGCUAGUUCACAGUGAGGCACAGAAUCAGUUUAGAAGCACUUCGGGGAAUUUGGAUACUGUUUGGUGGCCUGGCAAGAUCAGCACCCUUACUAUUUUAGUCCCUGCCAGUCAUCAGCCUCUGGUUUUCCUGUUAUCCUCUGCUCCCUGUUAUGUAGCUACUAAGUGGCCUAAGAGCCAGCACCUUCACAAAGUAGCAAAGAGGAAAGGACAUUUGAGGACACAGUGAGAAGACGAUGGUUAUCCACAAGCCAGAAAAAGAAGCCUCACCAGAAACCAAUCCUGACACCCUGAGUUUGGGUUUUCAGCCCCUACAACUGUGAGACAAUGAAUGUCUUCUUUACAGCACAGUCUAUGAUAUCUUGUUGUGAUAGACUAAGGAGACUAAUCUAACUAUUCUUUAAUAUUGGGAACAUUACUUAGAAGCAAAUGAUCUUCGAAAAUGGU